This 414-nucleotide ribosomal RNA is filed under the name Triticum aestivum (bread wheat). Its description in RNAcentral is "partial small subunit ribosomal RNA". Lineage: Eukaryota; Viridiplantae; Streptophyta; Magnoliopsida; Poales; Poaceae. The record is from RNAcentral.
AUGGAACUAAAGAUGAAGAGGAAUGGUGACAUUAAGUCCCUUUUCUGGAAUUAUGAGGCAAAAAUAAGAAAGGUUGCAGCCCCUCCUGAAGAGCAACCUGAACCUGAUAUUGAUCCACCUCUAAUCCAUUCAAAUGCAGAGAUUGACAUUGAUAUUUAUCCACCUCCAGUCCAUUCGGAUGCAGAGAUUGACAUUGAUAUUGAUGAUGAAGCGCCACGGCAAUCAUCACCCCAAGAUCCACAUGCAAGGUCAUAUAAUAUUCAAAGGCUUCCACCUAAUCCAGGGGAAAGGAUUCCUUUUUCGGAGUACAAUGUUGAUGAUCAAGAUGAAGUUCGGAGACGGUACAUUGCAAAGAAUGUAGUCCAACCAUAUGCAUACAACUUUGAAGUCAAGAAAAUGUAUGGUAAAAAUUGA